CGGGAUAGUUUAGUGGCGGACGGGUGAGUAACACGUGAGCAACCUACCUUCGAGAGGGGAAUAACGGCUGGAAACGGUCGCUAAUACCGCAUAACAUACUGGGGGGACAUCCCUUUGGUAUCAAAGAUUUUAUCGCUCGGAGAUGGGCUCGCGUCCGAUUAGGUAGUUGGUGAGGUAACGGCUCACCAAGCCGACGAUCGGUAGCCGGACUGAGAGGUCGAACGGCCACAUUGGGACUGAGACACGGCCCAGACUCCUACGGGAGGCAGCAG
RNAcentral lists this ribosomal RNA (272 nucleotides) under uncultured bacterium. RNAcentral's name for it is "partial 16S ribosomal RNA". It matches the Rfam family "Bacterial small subunit ribosomal RNA", at positions 83 to 354 of the family's 1533-position model. The record is from RNAcentral.